UGAACCCACUGAGUGAGACCAGGGAUUGAAGCCACUUCCUCACUGGAUACAAGUUGAGUUUGUGACUACUGUACCACAUGGGCAACUCCUGGCAAAUCCAAUUCUACACUGAGAAAUCAGGAGUUUCCCUCCUGGUUCAGCAGGAUAAGAACCCAACCUAGUGUCCAGGACAAUGAGGGUUCAAUCCCUGGUUCACUCAGUGGGUUAAGGAUUCAGCAUUUCCCCAAGCUGCAGUGUAGGUCACAAGAUUUGGCUCAGAACAGUGUGGCUAUGGCUGUAGUGCAGAUGGGCACCUGCAGCUUUGAUUCAACCCCUAGCACGGGAACUUCCAUAUGCCUUUCAAAGGAAAACUGUUGAAAUAAAAACACAAAAAAUAAACAUGAGAAAUCAAGAUUCAUCAGCAAUCAAAACCAUGCUAUUUCAGCAGGAUGGCAUAUCCCCAAAGCUUCCCCAAAUCCCAUCAACUAUUCCAAUCUUUAAUACAUCUUCCCUAAAGUUUAUUAUUUGAUGGAAAUGAUUUUUGUUAUUCUAGGAAUUCCUUUAACAUUUUUUUCGCACUUCCUUCACGCGGCCCUAAAUUUUCCAAUUUAGAAAUCUUUCAUAGGCAUUUGCUGAAACUAUCAAUUGUUUAAUGAUGUUCAGAGUAAAAUGACUAACAAAACAGAGACUUCAAGCAUAUAAUAUGAAAGAUAUAUGGAAUAGAAAACCAGGUGGAGAGGAAAUAAGAUAAAUUAUGAGAUGAUCACAGAAAAUAUUUGUUUAAAAUAUUUGUAAAAUAUAUUUGCUUAAAAUAUCAAAGAAAGAUGAUUUUCCAGAAAAAAAUAUGAAGUGUCAAAAUUCAUUCUGAUAAUAAACAAAAUACAUUCAUUUAAAGGAAAAAAUUAGCAGAGUAACAAAACUCUUGGGGGAGACACAAGGCCUUGACAAACACUUCUGAGUGUAGUAAAACUUUUCUAGGCAUUAAUUUUGUGAUACUAUAUGUCAAUAGUACAAAGAGCAGUCAAAUAUACCACAAAAAAAGGAAAAUAAGGGCGUUCCCAUCGUGGCUCAGCAGAAACAAAUAUGACUAGCAUCCCUGAGGACACAGGUUUGAUACCUGGCCUUGCUUAGUGGGUUAAGGACCUGACGUUACCUUGAGCUGUGGUCUAGGUCGCAGAUGCAGCUUGGAUCCCUCAUUGCUGUGGCUGUGGCACAGGCCAGUGGCAACAGCUCAUUUGACCCCUAUCCUCAGAACUCCCAUAUAGGGGAUGUCCUAAAAAGACAAAAAAUCUUUAGGAUUUUUUCAUAGAACCUCUUACCUGGAGUUACUUUGCUGCUCACAAAAGCCUCUUCCCUGAGCAUGAAUACACACUCCUCUUUCUGAAAGCACUUACUAAGCCCAAAUGGAUCACCCAGAUGACAGCAGGGAAGAAACCCUGGUUGAGCUGAUGGAGCGAAGUAUGGAUGGUGAGAGAUCUCUAGAAAGAAAGUUGGUUUGAGAUCCAAACAGACCAGGGGUCAGCAAGGUGACAAUAUUCUUCAUCUUGGGUCAGUGUGCUGGGAGAACAGGGACAAAUAUGGAAUGUUUAUCCUUUCAAGGACAUCCUGGUUUGAAUCCUCAAAGUGCCUAAUUAAAUACAUGUUCCUAGUGUGACUCUAUUUCUAAACAGCAUUGGCCCUUGGAAAAGAAAGAACAAUAAUAAAACUGGAAACUAUGACUGACAAUUCUAUUCCCACAUGGAAAGUUUAGAGACAGUAAUUUUGUUUUCAUCUUGGCAGUUGUCUCCUUGGGGUUGAUGUCACAGUUCAGGAUUCUCUCCAAAAAAUAUCCUGUUAGAAUCUGAACUGCAUGUUCUUUGCCAGUCAAAUGCCUUAAAUACAAUUGUAUAGGGCCUGCUAUAUCUCUGACAGCACCUUGAAUCAAAGACUGGCCCUCUCAGAUAAGAAUCUAAUAAUACAUGAUACUGUUAAAAAAAACAUUAAUACAAAUAGUGGGGGGAAGGAUGGACAGGGAGUUUGGGAUUGGCAUAUGCACAGAGUGGUAUAUGGAAUGAUUGGCCAGUAGUGACAGAGAAUUCUACCCAGUAUUGUGAUUAUAUAUUUGGCAAGACUCUGAAAGAUAAUGAAUAUUUGUACAUGUAUUACUGAAUCAUAUUGUUGUACAGCAGAAAUAAUCACAACACUAUAAGUCCACUGUACUUCAACAAAACUUUAAAAGUGAAAAAAAUGCAUUUAAAGUGAAAUAAAAUGGAAAACAUUUGUAGUAGGAAAAUCAACAUUGCUAUAUAUUAAAGACACCUAUUUCCCCUACACCGGCAUGUAAAAUCAAAAUAGAAGAGAAUCAACAAAGCCAAUAAGUUCACUUUGGGAAAAAAAUUAAAAAUAAACAAAGAAAAAUGAAAAAAAAUAAUAGGGAGUUCCCAUCAGGGCUCAGUGGUAACAAACCCAGCCAGUAUCCAUGAGGACUUGGGUUCAAUCCGUGUCCUCGAUCAGUGGGUUGAGGAUCCAGCAUUGCCUUGAGCUCUGCUGUGGUCAGAGAUGAUGCUUGGAUAUGGCAUUGCUGUGGCUGUGGUGAAGGCCUGAAGCUACAGCUCUCAUCUGAGUCCUAGCAUGGGUGGAAACUUCCAUAUGCUGAAGGUGCAGCCUUAAGACAAAAACAAAAAAAAGGUGCACAUUAUGGACACACACAAACACACUACCUAUGUAAUUUUCAUGAAUACAUAAGUAAGGAAAAUGACUGGAAGCAAGUAUCUUUAAGUGUUAAUAUUGGUUAUUUCUGAGAGGAAGAUGUGCAUACUUAAUAUAGUA
RNAcentral lists this long non-coding RNA (2787 nucleotides) under Sus scrofa (pig). RNAcentral's name for it is "lncRNA (ENSSSCG00050052730.1)". The record is from RNAcentral. Lineage: Eukaryota; Metazoa; Chordata; Mammalia; Artiodactyla; Suidae.